Non-coding RNA from Pimephales promelas (fathead minnow), 1021 nucleotides. The record is from RefSeq and is a predicted model, not a curated record. NCBI's taxonomy places the organism in Eukaryota, Metazoa, Chordata, Actinopteri, Cypriniformes, Leuciscidae.
UUUGUCCUCUUUUUUUUCACCACAGAAUACUCAGAAAAAUAUCAGGAGAUUCUAGACAGAGAAGACUACUUCCCUGAUGCAUAUGAGCAGAAUGGAAAUGAAUCUUCCUGUGACGAUGAUGAUGAAAUGGAUCCAGAGAUCGAGGAGGCGUUUGAGAAGUUUUGCCUGGAGUCGGAUGCAAAAAGAAGGAAAUGAGAGACUGUGAGGUUGUCAUGUUAACACAUUACCCGACCAGCUGGAAUGUUUCAGAGUGGGCGGAACCAAGAACACUUCGGUUGAUUUUCGUUUCAUUUCUCAUCAAUCACUUCUUGGCUACAACAUCGCUGGAUUUAUGGCUGGGAUUACUGUUUAGUUGAAAUGCGGUAUAAUUUGCAAGUUCGUCAGGCCAUCAAGUUGUCAGUAGCCAUUGGUUUGGCAUUUGGGAUGUGAGGUUUAUUUUAUGCGUGUUCUGAUUUAUCAAACAUCCCCUCAAAAAAAAAAAAGUUUGCAGUGAAAUUUUAAUAUGAGCCGAAGAGUAGCAUCAUCGUGUACGUGUGGUUUGUUUGCAGAUUAACUGCUCAGUAAAUGUAGGAGAAAUGAGGCGGGGCGUGUCGCUUUGUGUUUUACUCCUCAAGGCUUUGCCGUAUAAAGUUACAGAGCACUGACCGUAAGACAAAAACGUUUUAAGAAAACAAAACUACUGUUAUUCCUUCCACAGAUUCUCCUUGAAUCUUUACUUUGAGUUCUACUUUCAAUUUAUUCACGUUUGUGAGGAAAAGAGGAACCCCAACUUUAAAGUAUGUUUGGUUUUUUUGAAUGCAGGGAUACAUUUUUCCACAUCUGUUAAAUAAGCGUGUCAAAUCAGAGGAAAAGCUCAGUACAGGUUUGGGGAUUUACACAGAUUCAUCCGCCACUGUGAUUUACAGAUGUUUUCUGAUCACCAUUCAUCUCAUGGAUCCCAGAUAAAGGAAUGUUUAUUUUAAUAUAGCUGUAAAUAUUAUUUGCUGCAUUGUUUGCCUGCAAUAAAUCUUUAUUAAUACAC